CCUACGGGAGACAGCAGUGGGGGAUAUUGCACAAUGGGGGAAACCCUGAUGCAGCGACGCCGCGUGGGUGAAGAAGUAUUUCGGUAUGUAAAGCCCUAUCAGCAGGGAAGAAAGAAGACGGUACCUGACUAAGAAGCCCCGGCUAACUACGUGCCAGCAGCCGAGGUAAUACGUAGGGGGCGAGCGUUAUCCGGAUUCACUGGGUGUAAAGGGAGCGUAGACGGCCGUGCAAGCCAGGAGUGAAAGCCCGGGGCCCAACCCCGGGACUGCUCUUGGAACUGUGCGGCUGGAGUGCGGGAGGGGCAGGCGGAAUUCCUGGUGUAGCGGUGAAAUGCGUAGAUAUCAGGAGGAACACCGGCGGCGAAGGCGGCCUGCUGGACCGCGACUGACGUUGAGGCUCGAAAGCGUGGGGAGCGAACAGGAUUAGAUACCCGAGUAGUC
This 441-nucleotide ribosomal RNA is filed under the name uncultured bacterium. RNAcentral's name for it is "partial 16S ribosomal RNA". It matches the Rfam family "Bacterial small subunit ribosomal RNA", at positions 338 to 795 of the family's 1533-position model. The record is from RNAcentral.